UUUUUGUUGGAUUCCUCGGAGCAACGAGACCAGUUUUCAUUGGACUCCUCGGAGCAACGGUCCAAGACGCCAAAAGUUUCUGCAAGGGACAGGUUUCUCCAAUCUUUGCAUCGAAGCAACAGUAGCCCACCGAUACAGUCGUUCUUUCCAGAACAAGGGCAUGGUGAUAAUGGCCGCCGCGAAAAUGCCGUGAAUGAAUCUUCGAGUCGUCCUCAUAGCUUGAGGAGAGCCGUUUCCAGCGAUAUCUAUCAAUCUGUGUAAAUUUGUGUAUAGAAAUACGCAGCAAAGAUUGUAAAUUCUUGACGAGCGAGGGAGAGAUACUCACAGGAUUAAAAGUUUCGUCUGGAUUGAUCAAGGAAUCGUGUUCGUACACCAUUCCUGAUAAUUGGAUACUUGAUUCAUGCCCGAUGAGCCUGUGCAAGACGAGCACUUUGAUCGUUCUCGAAAAAGUAAAACACUCCACUUGCUUUCCUUUUGCAAGCACGUAGAAGAAAUGUGCCUAGAGUAGCGAAGAUAAGCCUGAUCGGACAGAAAACGAAUUUGUGACCCGGAAGAGAGAAAAAAACUAGAUUCCCACCUUUGAAUUUCAUCUCCAUUCGACGAAGCGAGCACAAAGAAGUCCCUGUAGAAUUCAACAGUGUCAAAAGCUUUGAAAGGAAAACAAAAAGCACCUACUUUUCUUUUUCUCUCUCUCUCUGUUUUUUUUUUUUCUUUUCUUUU
This 720-nucleotide long non-coding RNA is filed under the name Selaginella moellendorffii. RNAcentral's name for it is "long non-coding RNA (SMOE_LNC001670)". Lineage: Eukaryota; Viridiplantae; Streptophyta; Lycopodiopsida; Selaginellales; Selaginellaceae. The record is from RNAcentral.